Molecule: small RNA, 29 nt
Filed under: Bombyx mori (domestic silkworm)
Lineage: Eukaryota; Metazoa; Arthropoda; Insecta; Lepidoptera; Bombycidae
Description: ovarian small RNA-12483
Source: RNAcentral
AUCGACUACAGCAAAGCCUUUGACAGCAA